This 490-nucleotide ribosomal RNA is filed under the name uncultured bacterium. RNAcentral's name for it is "partial 16S ribosomal RNA". It matches the Rfam family "Bacterial small subunit ribosomal RNA", at positions 29 to 507 of the family's 1533-position model. The record is from RNAcentral.
AGUGAACGCUGGCGGUAGGCCUAACACAUGCCAGUCGAACGGCAGCACAGGAGAGCUUGCUCUCUAGGUGGCGAGUGGCGGACGGGUGAGGAAUACAUCGGAAUCUGCCCAGUCGUGGGGGAUAACGUAGGGAAACUUACGCUAAUACCGCAUACGACCUUCGGGUGAAAGAGGGGGAUCGCAAGACCUCUCGCGAUUGGAUGAGCCGAUGUCGGAUUAGCUAGUUAGCGGGGUAAUGGCCCACCAAGGCGACGAUCCGUAGCUGGUCUGGGAGGAUGAUCAGCCACACUGGAACUGAGACACGGUCCAGACUCCUACGGGAGGCAGCAGUGGGGAAUAUUGGACAAUGGGCGCAAGCCUGAUCCAGCCAUACCGCGUGGGUGAAGAAGGCCUUCGGGUUGUAAAGCCCUUUUGUUGGGAAAGAAAUCUUUCAGGCUAAUACCCUGGGAGGAUGACGGUACCCAAAGAAUAAGCACCGGCUAACUUCGUG